RNAcentral lists this transfer RNA (60 nucleotides) under Triodontophorus serratus. Its description in RNAcentral is "tRNA-Asp". The record is from RNAcentral. Lineage: Eukaryota; Metazoa; Nematoda; Chromadorea; Rhabditida; Strongylidae.
AAAGUUUUAGUAUAAUAAUUAGUAUAAACUAUUGUCAAUAGUUAGGUUUAUUAAACUUUA